This 301-nucleotide ribosomal RNA is filed under the name uncultured bacterium. RNAcentral describes it as "partial 16S ribosomal RNA". It matches the Rfam family "Bacterial small subunit ribosomal RNA", at positions 509 to 807 of the family's 1533-position model. The record is from RNAcentral.
CAGCAGCCGCGGGAAUACGAAGGGGGCUAGCGUUGCUCGGAAUGACUGGGCGUAAAGGGCGCGUAGGCGGCGAUCAAAGUCAGGCGUGAAAUUCCUGGGCUCAACCUGGGGGCUGCGUUUGAUACUUGAUUGCUAGAGUGGGGAAGAGGGUCGUGGAAUUCCCAGUGUAGAGGUGGAAUUCGUAGAUAUUGGGAAGAACACCGGUGGCGAAGGCGGCGACCAGGUCCUUGACUGACGCUGAGGCGCGAAAGCGUGGGGAGCAAACAGGAUUAGAUACCCCGGUAGUCCCUGUCUCUUAUAC